GAUGAACGCUAGCGACAGGCUUAACACAUGCAAGUCGAGGGGCAGCACCAGGGUAGCAAUACUUGGGUGGCGACCGGCGCACGGGUGAGUAACGCGUAUCCAACCUUCCGUACACUCAGGGAUAGCCUUUCGAAAGAAAGAUUAAUACCUGAUGGUAUGAUGAGAUUGCAUGAUAGCAUCAUUAAAGAUUUAUCGGUGUACGAUGGGGAUGCGUUCCAUUAGGUAGUAGGCGGGUAACGGCCCACCUAGCCUACGAUGGAUAGGGGUUCUGAGAGGAAGGCCCCCCCANAUUGGAACUGAGACACGGUCCAAACUCCUACGGGAGGCAGCAGUGAGGAAUAUUGGUCAAUGGACGGAGUCUGAACCAGCCAAGUAGCGUGAAGGAUGACUGCCCUAUGGGUUGUAAACUUC
This 411-nucleotide ribosomal RNA is filed under the name uncultured bacterium. Its description in RNAcentral is "bacterial SSU rRNA". It matches the Rfam family "Bacterial small subunit ribosomal RNA", at positions 28 to 433 of the family's 1533-position model. The record is from RNAcentral.